This is a non-coding RNA of Taeniopygia guttata (zebra finch), 612 nucleotides long. NCBI's taxonomy places the organism in Eukaryota, Metazoa, Chordata, Aves, Passeriformes, Estrildidae. The record is from RefSeq and is a predicted model, not a curated record.
GGCCAUGGCAGGGCACCUACGCACAGAGAGCGGCCAAUUAUCCUCUGACAUCAGCUGCCAUCCACCAAAGAGAAGCAACUGGAUCAGAUGGUCAUUGCACACAAGAGGGAUGCUGCUCCUUUCCUGAGGGAGCAACUGAACGUGCUCAAGUGAAGUUUCCACAAAUAGCAGGUGUGGCAGAAAAGAAAAGGGACUGCAGCAAGACGUUGUGAGCCUGCAGAUCAAGUACAGGCAAACUGUGGAAAUAACAUGUCUCUGAAAGAGAGAUGUUCCUGUGACUGUAUACCACACACUACAGAAAUGUUACAAUUUAAAGGUGCAGCUAAUAAAACAUUACUGGUUCAAUCACGUACUACUGAAACCUUCCUCUUAUUUCCAAGAGGGCGAAGACAAUAAUGAGGGCUGAGCACUGAGACGGAAAAAAGCUUUUUGGCAAAAGACAUGAUACUCAUUCAGUACUAGAUGUGGUUUGAGGAAGAAUUCUCCAUUUAAGAGGAAAGGAAAUGCACAGGGGGUGCAGAGCAGACAGUUUUUGAGGUUCAAGAAGAAAUACUUUGUGAUAAUGUACCUGUCAUGAUCCAUCCUCAUGUCCAAUGGCCCGUCCUUCUGCAG